RNAcentral lists this ribosomal RNA (618 nucleotides) under Triticum aestivum (bread wheat). Its description in RNAcentral is "partial small subunit ribosomal RNA". The record is from RNAcentral. Lineage: Eukaryota; Viridiplantae; Streptophyta; Magnoliopsida; Poales; Poaceae.
AGUAUAUUAGUACCAAUCUUCAAGAACAAGGGGGAUGUUCAGAGUUGUACUAAUUACCGUGGAAUUAAGCUGAUGAGCCAUACAAUGAAGCUAUGGGAGAGAGUCAUUGAGCACCGCUUAAGAAGAAUGACAAGCGUGACCAAAAAUCAGUUUGGUUUCAUGCCUGGGAGGUCGACCAUGGAAGCCAUUUUCUUGGUACGACAACUUAUGGAGAGAUAUAGGGAGAAAAAGAAGGACUUGCAUAUGGUGUUCAUUGACUUGGAGAAGGCCUAUAAUAAGAUACCGCAGAAUGUCAUGUGGUGGGCCUUGGAGAAACACAAAGUCCCAGCAAAGUACAUUACCCUCAUCAAGGACAUGUACGAUAAUGUUGUGGCAAGUGUUCGAACAAGUGAUGUCGACACUGAUGACUUCCCGAUUAAGAUAGGACUGCAUCAGGGGUCAGCUUUGAGCCCUUAUCUUUUUGCAUUGGUGAUGGAUGAGGUCACAAGGGAUAUACAAGGAGAUAUCCCAUGGUGUAUGCUCUUUGCGGAUGAUGUGGUGCUAGUUGACGAUAGUCGGACGGGGGUAAAUAGGAAGUUAGAGAUAUGGAGACGAACCUUGGAAUCGAAAGGGUUUAGG